Molecule: ribosomal RNA, 482 nt
Filed under: uncultured bacterium
Lineage: Bacteria
Description: partial 16S ribosomal RNA
Rfam family: Bacterial small subunit ribosomal RNA
Source: RNAcentral
GACGAACGCUGGAGGCGUGCUUAACACAUGCAAGUCGAACGAUGAGAUGGAGCUUGCUCCAUGGAUUAGUGGCGAACGGGUGAGUAACACGUGAAUAACCUGCCCUUAAUUUUGGAAUAACCCAGGGAAACCUGGGCUAAUACCGGAUAAGUAAACCUGUGGCAUCACAUGGUUUUGGAAAGUUUUUCGAUUAAGGAUGGAUUCGCGGCCUAUCAGCUUGUUGGUGAGGUAAUGGCUCACCAAGGCGACGACGGGUAGCCGGCCUGAGAGGGUGAACGGCCACACUGGGACUGAGACACGGCCCAGACUCCUACGGGAGGCAGCAGUGGGGAAUAUUGCGCAAUGGACGAAAGUCUGACGCAGCGACGCCUCGUGAGGGACGAAGGUCUUCGGAUUGUAAACCUCUUUCAGCAGGGACGAAGCGAAAGUGACGGUACCUGCAGAAGAGGCACCGGCUAACUAUGUGCCAGCCGCCGCGGUAA